CAUAGUCAGGGCCAGGCGAAAGUCAUGAAUGGCAGAGGCACACUUGUACUUUAAACAAGCUGGCUCAAUCCCCAAAAAAUACAAUACAGGACACAGAACAUAUUUAAUGCUACAAUAUGGCAGUUACAUAAAAGUAGAUACAGAAUAAAUAGGCUGGAGUGUGUUACAUCAUUUUAUAUCAAUAGGUCAGUGGUAUGAACAAAU
Pelobates cultripes (western spadefoot toad) is the source of this 204-nucleotide non-coding RNA. Lineage: Eukaryota; Metazoa; Chordata; Amphibia; Anura; Pelobatidae. The record is from the annotation of a GenBank genome assembly.